UAAGUGCACCUCUUCCACCUCUCUUUGAAGAGGGGGAAAUGGAUUUGGUACAGGCCAAAACACAGGGAUAUCAAUGCUCACUACCUUGCUGCUUCUCAGUGGAUGGAGGGAGCAAAUCACACUGUAUUUUCCUUUUCAGUCAUUAGCAGGCUGUUCAGAAUCUCUGGCUGGUGCUUAUUAUUUAUUCCAAACAGAAAUAAAAUAAAAUAAAAAUAAAUAGCAGCACGAGGACAACGCUAUGCACAGCACAUUCGCUCUUUCAAAAUAAUAUUACCUUUCAAGUCCACCGUAACCUUGGAAAAGAAUAACUCGGCGUAAGCCAAAUCUACAAAACUAAUCACGAUCCGUUCCGCCCCCGCUUUUUAACAGCUCUUACAGGGAACACACGGGUGCAGUUCGCAGGCAAGUUGGGAACAGCUCGCUUCCAACACAGGAUCUGCACCGCGAUCGCUCAGUCCUGCAUCUCUGACUGAUGGAUCGCGUGUUUGCCUCUCCUGUGUGACAGCGCUGGCCCUCACCGAAUCCAUCCCGGGUGAAGGGAACUCGCUCCCGGAGCCAGCCAGCCUGUCAGGCCUCCCCCAUCAAGGAGCCAGCCUGCUCAUGAAGGAGGGAAAUGGGAAACUCCUGGCCACAGAUGGAGGACGAGCCUCUGCUGUGCUUUGGCUGCAUGCUGCUCUCCCUUCCCACCCCUGCAGUGGAAGACCACCUCAGGACAGACAGACAGAAAGCCAUCCAUGCAAAGUGUCCAAAAGGGUGGCUCCACGAUUCUUUGGGGGAGGGAUUGUUUCCUUGAGGGGAAAAUCAUCCUUGUAACCAUCGUGAUUCAUACCACGAGUGCGCAACGUGAAACCGGUACCAAAAACAACACUACAAAGACGUUCUCUCUCUGGCGCUUCACCGACCUAUGGCCACGGCCCCGGGGGCUGACUCAGAGCUCUUCUUAAUCGACAUUUCUGCAACAACAUACCCUGGCCCAAGCCGUGCCUCUCCCCGUGGCUGGCUGGCACACUCCCCGUGCCUGGUGCUGCCCGGGGGACACGGCACGGUGGGGACGGUGCCCCACGGCCCUGCUGUAACACCAACAGAUGGCUGCUACACAGAGCAGGAGAAAUACAAGCCCUGAGCACUCAUGGCAUAGGUGGA
RNAcentral lists this long non-coding RNA (1143 nucleotides) under Parus major (Great Tit). RNAcentral's name for it is "lncRNA (ENSPMJG00000005587.1)". The record is from RNAcentral. Lineage: Eukaryota; Metazoa; Chordata; Aves; Passeriformes; Paridae.